GAAACGGCGCAGCUGGGACUCUGUGCUGUGGCAGCCUAAGCGAACCUCUUCACGGGCUAAUGACAAUUGCAGGCAUUGUUGGGCUGUGUCCUAAGGUGAAUCAACAUAAAGAAAAGCCCUGGCUGCUCGUGCACUGAUAACUUCAUCUUUUCGGACAUCUGGGAACUACCGCCACAAUGUCUGGAAAAAAAAUGACUUCAAACUAAUGCAGCAGAGGCAAACCAUGGUUUGGCCAAAAAUGGAACAGAAUUUACAAGGGAAAAGGGAAGUUCCUGGAGUAAUAUGUGUAGGUCAGAUGAGGAUGGAACUGGUGAAUGAGCAGAAGAGAAGGUUGGAAGAGUGCAGUGGUGAUGACAGCCCUCCGCUGCUCCUUCCCCAGAGGAAGGAGCUCCAGAGGACGUUUGCUGAAACGUGAUCUAAACUCACUUCAAGAAGAAAAGUACAUGCCGGGAAUUGAAACCAAGAGCUUUCUUUCCAUCCUGGAGGCCCUUGGACCUCAUGGAAGGUGACUCCUUUGAGCUUUGUUGCAGGUCAGCCAUAGCCUAUGCAGUGUGCAAGGUGACACCUUCCUUAGGGGCUAGCGUCCCUUUCUGCUCCUUUCCCAGCCUGGACGUCCCCUGCUGUUCGCUUCGGUCUUUUUCGGCCUCCUCCCUGAUGUGGCUUUGUUCUGUCUUCUGCUUAAUGCCACAGGCUUUGGUUCCUGCCACCAAAUGAGCCCUCCUAUUGUUAAACUCUGAGUCUUUUUUUAGGCUAUGCCUGCCUCCUCUGCACCCUUUACUCUUAUUUUCAUUUUAUUGAUUGCCUAUGUGGUUUUUCUCCCAAAAAUCUGAAAGUGGUAUGGGAGUCAGUCUGCCUAGUUCUCUCUUCUUCCUUGUUUUCCCCAAGAUAACCGCAAAGUCCCUUUUGGUUUUAAGGGUUUACUGUUAAUAACUACAAAAAAGCCCAAACCUAGCAGUGACAAUAAAUACAGUGAAGUCACAAACUUAAAAAAUCCUUCAAAGUUUCUGUAGCAUUGGUCUCUAGGCUAUAAUUAUGGCUCCCCUUCAAGAUGGUAACUGAAAACUAUGUUUGAUUUCUGUUCCCUGUUUUUAUUUUUAAAACUGAAGCCCACUAAACCCUUCUGUCCCUAACACACAUACAUCGUCCACCCUUUAGUUAGCGCAUGAACCGUGUCCAUCCCUGAGGACCUUCCACACUAAGUGGUCUUCAUCUGUCUUGAACUCCACCUCAUGGCAAUGGGUCCUUUGGAUAUAAAUAUUUCAGCAAACAUUUAAUCUCUACCUAAGUUCCCAUCUUUAGGAUCCCAAUUUAAUUUGGUCCUUCAGCUUAUUUACACCAAGGGACUAAUAACUACUUUCUAUGUUACCUAUCUAGAGGCAUUUUCAUUUUCAAAAAUUGGGAGAGGAAAAUAAAUAAAGAAAAUACAGGAAUGACACUCUGGUUGGGGAUCCUUAGGCAUCACAGUCACAGGUGAGAAGAGAAACUGACCAAUACACUUGAAUUGUCCCAAGGCUAGGGAUGGAAAAAUACUAGCUCAGCUUUGUCUCUGUCCACUGUUAGAGGCUUU
RNAcentral lists this long non-coding RNA (1567 nucleotides) under Homo sapiens (human). RNAcentral describes it as "HSALNT0296713". Lineage: Eukaryota; Metazoa; Chordata; Mammalia; Primates; Hominidae. The record is from RNAcentral.